UACGUAGGGUGCGAGCGUUAAUCGGAAUUACUGGGCGUAAAGCGUGCGCAGGCGGUUUUGUAAGCCAGAUGUGAAAGCCCCGGGCUUAACCUGGGAAUGGCAUUUGGGACUGCAAGGCUGGAGUGUGGCAGAGGAGACUGGAAUUCCUGGUGUAGCAGUGAGAUGCGUAGAUAUCAGGAGGAACACCGAUGGCGAAGGCAGGUCUCUGGGCUGACACUGACGCUCAUGCACGAAAGCGUGGGGAGCAAACAGG
Molecule: ribosomal RNA, 253 nt
Filed under: uncultured bacterium
Lineage: Bacteria
Description: partial 16S ribosomal RNA
Rfam family: Bacterial small subunit ribosomal RNA
Source: RNAcentral